RNAcentral lists this ribosomal RNA (1314 nucleotides) under Triticum aestivum (bread wheat). RNAcentral's name for it is "partial small subunit ribosomal RNA". Lineage: Eukaryota; Viridiplantae; Streptophyta; Magnoliopsida; Poales; Poaceae. The record is from RNAcentral.
AUGGACGACGACGACGCCGGGGGCGGCGGCGACGCGUCCCCGCAGCACGAGGGCGGGGGCGGGGCGGUGGUGAUCGAGCGCGGGGCGGGGGCGACGGCGCCCGCGCGGGACGCCGCGGCGGCCUCGCCGACGAGCUCGCGGUCGGUGACGGAGACGGUGAACGGGUCGCACCGGUUCGUGAUCCAGGGCUACUCCCUCGCCAAGGGCAUGGGCGUGGGCAAGCACAUCGCCAGCGAGACCUUCGCCGUGGGCGGCUACCAGUGGGCGAUCUACUUCUACCCGGACGGGAAGAACCCCGAGGACAACUCCGCCUACGUCUCCGUCUUCAUCGCGCUCGCCUCCGAGGGCACCGACGUCCGCGCCCUCUUCGAGCUCACCCUCCAGGACCAGAGCGGCCGGGGCAAGCACAAGGUGCACUCCCACUUCGACCGCGCCCUCGACGCCGGGCCCUACACCCUCAAGUACCGCGGAUCCAUGUGGGGUUAUAAAAGGUUUUUUCGACGUACUGCUCUUGAGACAUCGGACUUUCUUAAAGACGAUUGCUUGAAGAUAAAUUGUACUGUGGGCGUUGUAACAUCAACCAUGGAAUACUCUAGGCCACAUUCUCUAGAGGUUCCGGAUUCUGACAUAGGCUACCAUUUUGGGACGCUUUUGGACUCUCAAGAGGGUGCAGAUGUUAUUUUUAGUGUAGCAGGAGAGAAGUUUCAUGCUCAUAAGUUAGUGUUGGCUGCCCGAUCUUCUUUUUUUAGAUCUGAAUUUCUUGAUCCUGAAUCAGAUGAAGAAAACAGUGAAGUCGACACAAGUAACGAAAUCAAAGAGAUUGUCAUCGAUGACAUGGAGCCAAAAGUAUUUCAGGCUGUGCUUCACUUCAUGUACAGGGACAAUCUUGUUGGUGAUGACGAAUUGUCUGCAUCAAGCUCAGAUUGUCCCAUCUUUGAUACUUUAGCUGGGAAAUUGUUGGCUGCAGCAGACAAAUAUGAGUUGCCAAGGCUAAGAGUGUUAUGUGAAUCUUACUUGUGCAAACAGAUUUCUGUAAAAUCUGUGGCAACUACUCUAGCGCUGGCUGAUCGGCAUCAUGCUACAGAGCUCAAGUCCGUCUGCCUAAAAUUUGCUGCUGAGAACCUUUCAGCUGUAAUCCGGACCGACGGAUUCGAUUACCUCAAAGACAACUGCCCGGCGCUACAGUCAGAGAUCCUCCGGACAGUAGCCGGGUGCGAGGAGGAAUGCAGCAGCGGGGGCAAGAGCCAGAGCGUGUGGGGCCAGAUCUCGGAUGGCGGCGACACCAGCGGGCGCAGGGUGAGGCCCAGGGUCUAA